Methylobacterium sp. Leaf456 is the source of this 52-nucleotide non-coding RNA. The record is from Rfam. Lineage: Bacteria; Pseudomonadati; Pseudomonadota; Alphaproteobacteria; Hyphomicrobiales; Methylobacteriaceae.
CGGCGGGACACCUCCCCCCAACGGGAGGCGCUCAUCUGGAAGGAUGGAUGAC